GAUGAACGCUGGCGGCGUGCCUAAUACAUGCAAGUCGAGCGAACGGACGAGAAGCUUGCUUCUCUGAUGUUAGCGGCGGACGGGUGAGUAACACGUGGAUAACCUACCUAUAAGACUGGGACAACUUCGGGAAACUGGAGCUAACACCGGAUAAUAUUUUGAACCGCAGGGUUCAAAAGUGAAAGACGGUUUUGCUGUCCCUUAUAGAUGGAUCCGCGCUGCAUUAGCUAGUUGGUAAGGUAACGGCUUACCAAGGCAACGAUGCAUAGCCGACCUGAGAGGGUGAUCGGCCACACUGGAACUGAGACACGGUCCAGACUCCUACGGGAGGCAGCAGUAGGGAAUCUUCCGCAAUGGGCGAAAGCCUGACGGAGCAACGCCGCGUGAGUGAUGAAGGUCUUCGGAUCGUAAAACUCUGUUAUUAGGGAAGAACAUAUGUGUAAGUAACUGUGCACAUCUUGACGGUACCUAAUCAGAAAGCCACGGCUAACUACGUG
This 497-nucleotide ribosomal RNA is filed under the name uncultured bacterium. RNAcentral describes it as "partial 16S ribosomal RNA". It matches the Rfam family "Bacterial small subunit ribosomal RNA", at positions 28 to 507 of the family's 1533-position model. The record is from RNAcentral.